GAGAUUUAUCGUAGUUCGGCUUUUUUCUAAGCCUUUGUUCACUCUCCUAGUGACCUCAUUGGGAUUUGAUUCACUAUUCUUUAAAUAGCAUUAUAACAUUUAACUUCACGGGAGUUGGACAAUUGUUUACAAACUAAAUGAUUUACCUCCAACCACUCCACCAACUAGCGAAAACUCCAGUACGGUCAAACCUAAACUCUACGUGAUUUUCACCUCAUAUCACUCACAAAAGGAAAACACUCUCUACAAGAGCAAAAACAAGGGAAUGACAAACCUUUUACAAUGAAAGCACAAAAUCAGCGCUCUCAAUAUGAAGCUCAAAGAUAAAACCUAGAAAGCUCACAACAAAAGAUUAUCUUUCUUUGAGUAUAUCUCCUCUUGUCACUUUAGCCUCGUGUUUAUAGACUUGAAAAUAUAGCUAUUGAAGCUUGAGAUCUUUUUACUAAUCGAUUAGGAGGAUUUGCAGCCCAACAGACACUUGCCGUUUAUAACUUCAACGAACACUUUCCUUUUAUGAAUAUCUUUCACGUUGUGGAAAUCCUUAACAUCAUAUUCCAUAGAGUUUUAAUCUAUCAAUCAAGAAAAUCUUACUUUCUUGGUUUCUGUUGGAAUGUCCCAUAUCGUCCA
This 627-nucleotide long non-coding RNA is filed under the name Actinidia chinensis (golden kiwifruit). RNAcentral's name for it is "long non-coding RNA (ACHI_LNC008143)". The record is from RNAcentral. Lineage: Eukaryota; Viridiplantae; Streptophyta; Magnoliopsida; Ericales; Actinidiaceae.